Molecule: ribosomal RNA, 160 nt
Filed under: uncultured Trebouxia photobiont
Lineage: Eukaryota; Viridiplantae; Chlorophyta; Trebouxiophyceae; Trebouxiales; Trebouxiaceae
Description: 5.8S ribosomal RNA
Rfam family: 5.8S ribosomal RNA
About the family: 5.8S ribosomal RNA (5.8S rRNA) is a component of the large subunit of the eukaryotic ribosome. It is transcribed by RNA polymerase I as part of the 45S precursor that also contains 18S and 28S rRNA.
Source: RNAcentral
GACAACUCUCAACAACGGAUAUCUUGGCUCCCGUAACGAUGAAGAACGCAGCGAAAUGCGAUACGUAGUGUGAAUUGCAGAAUUCCGUGAACCAUGGAAUCUUUGAACGCAAAUUGCGCUUGAGGCUUCGGCCAAGAGCAUGUCUGGCUCAGCGUCGGCU